UGAGGAGUAGUUCAGCUGGUAGAACGCCUGACUCUGGAUCAGGAAGUCGGAGGUUCGAGCCCUCCCUCCUCAGCCA
This 76-nucleotide transfer RNA is filed under the name Planctomycetota bacterium. RNAcentral's name for it is "tRNA-Gln". It matches the Rfam family "tRNA". From Rfam's summary of the family: Transfer RNA (tRNA) molecules are approximately 80 nucleotides in length. The record is from RNAcentral. RNAcentral also lists the same sequence under 1 other name. Lineage: Bacteria; Pseudomonadati; Planctomycetota.